Molecule: ribosomal RNA, 484 nt
Filed under: uncultured bacterium
Lineage: Bacteria
Description: partial 16S ribosomal RNA
Rfam family: Bacterial small subunit ribosomal RNA
Source: RNAcentral
AUUGAACGCUGGCGGCAUGCCUAACACAUGCAAGUCGAACGGCAGCGCGGGGGCAACCCUGGCGGCGAGUGGCGGACGGGUGAGGAAUGCAUAGGAAUCUGCCCGGUUGUGGGGGAUAACGUAGGAAAACUUACGCUAUUACCCCAUACGCCCUCCGGUGGAAAGGGGGGGACCUUCGGGCCCCACCCGACCGGUUGAGCCUAUGCCCGAUUAGCUAGUUGGCGGGGUAAGAGCCCACCAAGGCGACGAUCGGUAGCUGGUCUGAGAGGAUGAUCAGCCACACUGGGACUGAGACACGGCCCAGACUCCUACGGGAGGCAGCAGUGGGGAAUAUUGGACAAUGGGCGCAAGCCUGAUCCAGCAAUGCCGCGUGUGUGAAGAAGGCCUUCGGGUUGUAAAGCACUUUUGUUCGGGAAGAAAUCCGUGUGGUUAAUACCCGUACGGGAUGACGGUACCGAAAGAAUAAGCACCGGCUAACUUCGUG